AAGAAACGUUCAUGUAUUAUCUCAAAAAAAAAUAAAAUACAGCCACUUUUCAAAGGGAAGGGCGUGGAUCAGAUUCUUCUACAUAAUAAAAAAUUACUAACUAUGGGAAUCCAAUUCCAACUUUUCAAAGCAACCAUAAUAAGAUAGAAAGACCAGAAAAGAAGAAAGAUAAAACUAAACAAAGAUUCUUCUAAAUAUGGACUUUCCUAUCUCCUCUUUUUACUUUUUAGACCCUUGAGCAUAAAAAGCUUAUAGCCAAAAGGGCUAAAGUGAAAAAGAUAGUGUUUUGGAGAUGCAUAGCUGCAUUGCCGUCUAUGCCAACGCUACUCGGUCCAAUCCCAAAAGGUGGAUUGUUUGCCCCAGGUGUAGUCACUAUGCCUGUCCCCGUGCCAGUUCCUGGAGUUGUGGUGCCAGGUGGUGCAAUCGUUGGUAUUGUAGAUCCUGGUGGUGCGAUUGUUGGAGUUGUG
RNAcentral lists this unclassified non-coding RNA (467 nucleotides) under Hevea brasiliensis (rubber tree). Lineage: Eukaryota; Viridiplantae; Streptophyta; Magnoliopsida; Malpighiales; Euphorbiaceae. The record is from RNAcentral.